AGGGCGCACGGUGGAUGCCUUGGCACUAGAAGCCGAUGAAGGACGUUACUAACGACGAUAUGCUUUGGGGAGCUGUAAGUAAGCUUUGAUCCAGAGAUUUCCGAAUGGGGAAACCCAGCAUGAGUUAUGUCAUGUUAUCGAUAUGUGAAUACAUAGCAUAUCAGAAGGCACACCCGGAGAACUGAAACAUCUUAGUACCCGGAGGAAGAGAAAGAAAAUUCGAUUCCCUUAGUAGCGGCGAGCGAAACGGGAAGAGCCCAAACCAACAAGCUUGCUUGUUGGGGUUGUAGGACACUCUAUACGGAGUUACAAAGGACGACAUUAGACGAAUCAUCUGGAAAGAUGAAUCAAAGAAGGUAAUAAUCCUGUAGUCGAAAAUGUUGUCUCUCUUGAGUGGAUCCUGAGUACGACGGAGCACGUGAAAUUCCGUCGGAAUCUGGGAGGACCAUCUCCUAAGGCUAAAUACUCUCUAGUGACCGAUAGUGAACCAGUACCGUGAGGGAAAGGUGAAAAGCACCCCGGAAGGGGAGUGAAAUAGAACCUGAAACCGUGUGCUUACAAGUAGUCAGAGCCCGUUAAUGGGUGAUGGCGUGCCUUUUGUAGAAUGAACCGGCGAGUUACGAUUUGAUGCAAGGUUAAGCAGUAAAUGUGGAGCCGUAGCGAAAGCGAGUCUGAAUAGGGCGUUUAGUAUUUGGUCGUAGACCCGAAACCAGGUGAUCUACCCUUGGUCAGGUUGAAGUUCAGGUAACACUGAAUGGAGGACCGAACCGACUUACGUUGAAAAGUGAGCGGAUGAACUGAGGGUAGCGGAGAAAUUCCAAUCGAACCUGGAGAUAGCUGGUUCUCUCCGAAAUAGCUUUAGGGCUAGCCUCAAGUGAUGAUUAUUGGAGGUAGAGCACUGUUUGGACGAGGGGCCCCUCUCGGGUUACCGAAUUCAGACAAACUCCGAAUGCCAAUUAAUUUAACUUGGGAGUCAGAACAUGGGUGAUAAGGUCCGUGUUCGAAAGGGAAACAGCCCAGACCACCAGCUAAGGUCCCAAAAUAUAUGUUAAGUGGAAAAGGAUGUGGCGUUGCCCAGACAACUAGGAUGUUGGCUUAGAAGCAGCCAUCAUUUAAAGAGUGCGUAAUAGCUCACUAGUCGAGUGACACUGCGCCGAAAAUGUACCGGGGCUAAACAUAUUACCGAAGCUGUGGAUUGUCCUUUGGACAAUGGUAGGAGAGCGUUCUAAGGGCGUUGAAGCAUGAUCGUAAGGACAUGUGGAGCGCUUAGAAGUGAGAAUGCCGGUGUGAGUAGCGAAAGACGGGUGAGAAUCCCGUCCACCGAUUGACUAAGGUUUCCAGAGGAAGGCUCGUCCGCUCUGGGUUAGUCGGGUCCUAAGCUGAGGCCGACAGGCGUAGGCGAUGGAUAACAGGUUGAUAUUCCUGUACCACCUAUAAUCGUUUUAAUCGAUGGGGGGACGCAGUAGGAUAGGCGAAGCGUGCGAUUGGAUUGCACGUCUAAGCAGUAAGGCUGAGUAUUAGGCAAAUCCGGUACUCGUUAAGGCUGAGCUGUGAUGGGGAGAAGACAUUGUGUCUUCGAGUCGUUGAUUUCACACUGCCGAGAAAAGCCUCUAGAUAGAAAAUAGGUGCCCGUACCGCAAACCGACACAGGUAGUCAAGAUGAGAAUUCUAAGGUGAGCGAGCGAACUCUCGUUAAGGAACUCGGCAAAAUGACCCCGUAACUUCGGGAGAAGGGGUGCUCUUUAGGGUUAACGCCCAGAAGAGCCGCAGUGAAUAGGCCCAAGCGACUGUUUAUCAAAAACACAGGUCUCUGCUAAACCGUAAGGUGAUGUAUAGGGGCUGACGCCUGCCCGGUGCUGGAAGGUUAAGAGGAGUGGUUAGCUUCUGCGAAGCUACGAAUCGAAGCCCCAGUAAACGGCGGCCGUAACUAUAACGGUCCUAAGGUAGCGAAAUUCCUUGUCGGGUAAGUUCCGACCCGCACGAAAGGCGUAACGAUUUGGGCACUGUCUCAACGAGAGACUCGGUGAAAUCAUAGUACCUGUGAAGAUGCAGGUUACCCGCGACAGGACGGGAAGACCCCGUGGAGCUUUACUGUAGCCUGAUAUUGAAAUUCGGCACAGCUUGUACAGGAUAGGUAGGAGCCUUUGAAACGUGAGCGCUAGCUUACGUGGAGGCGCUGGUGGGAUACUACCCUAGCUGUGUUGGCUUUCUAACCCGCACCACUUAUCGUGGUGGGAGACAGUGUCAGGCGGGCAGUUUGACUGGGGCGGUCGCCUCCUAAAAGGUAACGGAGGCGCUCAAAGGUUCCCUCAGAAUGGUUGGAAAUCAUUCAUAGAGUGUAAAGGCAUAAGGGAGCUUGACUGCGAGACCUACAAGUCGAGCAGGGUCGAAAGACGGACUUAGUGAUCCGGUGGUUCCGCAUGGAAGGGCCAUCGCUCAACGGAUAAAAGCUACCCCGGGGAUAACAGGCUUAUCUCCCCCAAGAGUUCACAUCGACGGGGAGGUUUGGCACCUCGAUGUCGGCUCAUCGCAUCCUGGGGCUGUAGUCGGUCCCAAGGGUUGGGCUGUUCGCCCAUUAAAGCGGUACGCGAGCUGGGUUCAGAACGUCGUGAGACAGUUCGGUCCCUAUCCGUCGUGGGCGUAGGAAAUUUGAGAGGAGCUGUCCUUAGUACGAGAGGACCGGGAUGGACAUACCUCUGGUGUACCAGUUGUCGUGCCAACGGCAUAGCUGGGUAGCUAUGUGUGGACGGGAUAAGUGCUGAAAGCAUCUAAGCAUGAAGCCCCCCUCAAGAUGAGAUUUCCCAACUUCGGUUAU
This 2815-nucleotide ribosomal RNA is filed under the name Staphylococcus aureus. RNAcentral describes it as "bacterial LSU rRNA". It matches the Rfam family "Bacterial large subunit ribosomal RNA". The record is from RNAcentral. Lineage: Bacteria; Bacillati; Bacillota; Bacilli; Caryophanales; Staphylococcaceae.